CCCCUCUCAACCCCAGCAGUUCUGGCCUUUAUUUUCUUGUUCUGGCCUUGCUAAAUACCAAGCAUGGUGUUCAAAAGUCAGUGUACAAAAAUGACAGAAAACAAUGGCACUGUUCUCAGACACCUUAAGGCACAAUGGAACAGAGACACAGGUCCACUGGAUUUUGACAUUCCUCAGGAGAUAUCAGAGUUAUGCAGGAAUGCAUAAUCCACAAACUGCCAAGGAGAAACAUCAAGAAGAUUCAGAAGCUGAGCUAAUUCAAGUCUUACCCUGUUAGACCUCAAAAACACUUAAUUGAAAGGAAUCAAUUUCAGACCCACUCUGAGCAUCACACUGAAGGAAGCAGGUGGCAGCAAAAAUACC
Molecule: long non-coding RNA, 363 nt
Filed under: Cyanistes caeruleus (blue tit)
Lineage: Eukaryota; Metazoa; Chordata; Aves; Passeriformes; Paridae
Description: lncRNA (ENSCCEG00000018984.1)
Source: RNAcentral